GACGAACGCUGGCGGUGUGCUUAACACAUGCAAGUCGAACGGUAAGGCCCUUUCGGGGGUACACGAGUGGCGAACGGGUGAGUAACACGUGAGUAACCUGCCCUCAUCUCUGGGAUAACAGUCGGAAACGGUUGCUAAUACUGGAUAUGAGCUUGCAAGGCAUCUUGUGGGUUGGAAAGAUUUUUUUGGUUGGGGAUGGACUCGCGGCCUAUCAGCUUGUUGGUGAGGUAGUGGCUCACCAAGGCUUCGACGGGUAGCCGGCCUGAGAGGGUGACCGGCCACAUUGGGACUGAGAUACGGCCCAAACUCCUACGGGAGGCAGCAGUGGGGAAUAUUGCACAAUGGACGGAAGUCGGAUGCAGCAACGCCGCGUGCGGGAUGACGGCCUUCGGGUUGUAAACCGCUUUCAAUUGUGACGAAGCUUUUUGUGACGGUAGCAGUAGAAGAAGCACCGGCUAACUACGUG
RNAcentral lists this ribosomal RNA (466 nucleotides) under uncultured bacterium. RNAcentral's name for it is "partial 16S ribosomal RNA". It matches the Rfam family "Bacterial small subunit ribosomal RNA", at positions 28 to 507 of the family's 1533-position model. The record is from RNAcentral.